Molecule: ribosomal RNA, 774 nt
Filed under: Triticum aestivum (bread wheat)
Lineage: Eukaryota; Viridiplantae; Streptophyta; Magnoliopsida; Poales; Poaceae
Description: partial small subunit ribosomal RNA
Source: RNAcentral
AUGGAGGCAGCCAUGGAAGGCAAGCGGCGACGCCUCCCUGAUGCGGGGGUGGGGCAUGCCGUGUCGCCGCCCAGCAAGCGCCGCUGCGACGGUGGUGACCAGGACUCCCGCGCAAGCAAGAAGCGGGCGGACGGGCGUGCCUCUUCCGCCGCUUCUGCCGUCGCGCAACUUUCUUGCGCCAGGAUCAGGCAGUAUGUGCGUGAGUCGCGCCCCAAGGAGGAGAAGACCGAAGUCAGCGCCGGCGACAAGUUCCAGGUCGUGAUUAAGAAGCAGAACGCCGACAAGCGAAUCUCUUGCAUCGGACGGAACGGGGCGUCGAGCCAGGUCAGAGCCCGCGCUGUCGCAGACAACGUGACGCAGAAGGCCGGCCAGGGAGCUUCAUGCACCAGGAGCAGACCGGCGGUGCAGGCGUCGCGCCUAAACGGAGAGAUCGAGUUCAUCAGCAGCGGCGUCAGUGUUCUCUGCAACGGCGCGCACGGCGUCGCCAAGAACGAGAAGCAGCAGGAGUCCGGCGAGCGGGUCCAAGCGAUCGCAACGGCCAGCAUCCCGCAGCUAGCUCGCCAGGCGCCGCCGUCGUCGAUACCAAAGGAUCCCAUUGACCCGGACAAUGAGUUCCGCGCGGCCCUUGCGGCUGCUCGCCGAGCCAUAGUCAGACGGCGGCGGGAGGAGGCUCGCCGAGAGAGGGACAAGGUGGUGCAGACCGUCUACUUCAACGACCCUAACAUGACUCUCGAGAACCUGCUGAAGGCCCAAGCCCUGAUCGGUUCAUGCUGA